CGCGUGCGGGAUGAAGGCCUUCAGGGUUGUAAACCGCUUUCAGCAGGGACGAGGCCGCAAGGUGACGGUACCUGCAGAAGAAGCCCCGGCUAACUACGUGCCAGCAGCCGCGGUAAU
This 117-nucleotide ribosomal RNA is filed under the name uncultured bacterium. Its description in RNAcentral is "partial 16S ribosomal RNA". It matches the Rfam family "Bacterial small subunit ribosomal RNA", at positions 398 to 524 of the family's 1533-position model. The record is from RNAcentral.